This is a non-coding RNA of Xyrichtys novacula (pearly razorfish), 578 nucleotides long. NCBI's taxonomy places the organism in Eukaryota, Metazoa, Chordata, Actinopteri, Labriformes, Labridae. The record is from the annotation of a GenBank genome assembly.
CAGACACAUAGACAUAUAAGCAGUAGAUUGUGUCCUUCCAGAGGAGGAAAUCUACUUCUAGACUUCUAGAAUCAGCAUCUCCUCAUCCAUGGUGUCAUCGGGGUGAAAUGACGUCUAAAAACCUUUCACUUGUUCGUCUCCGCCCGUUUGCAUGGUGUGAAAUACGAUCCUCCUGAAACACGGAGUGUUUUAUUUUGAAAAGAAGCCGGAUGUUUUAUUUUGUGUCUGUGCCCGACUUCCUUUCCAGCACGGGUUAAUCUGUGCUGAAUUUAUCCGCCAUGCUCCGGCGUCCAGAAAAAAUAGAACUCUUGUGAUCAGCUGAGGAGUCCGGCGAUCCGCAGAGGAACGGAAAGAAGUCGGUGUAAAUUGACACGUUAACUUGAAUGGUUACGAUCAGCUACGAUCGGAGGAUACGACCUUUUAGGAGACGAUCAGGAUGAAGGUGGAAAUUGGGGGAAUAUCCCUUUAAUGAGUGGAACAGCUCCAGGUUUCAGAACCAGCUGAGACCCAGAUCCAGCUGGUACUGGUCUUGGUUUCCGAAGAAGUCCUCAGUGGCGUGGCGAGCGCUAACAGCUACG